This 384-nucleotide long non-coding RNA is filed under the name Elaeis guineensis (African oil palm). Its description in RNAcentral is "long non-coding RNA (EGUI_LNC014381)". Lineage: Eukaryota; Viridiplantae; Streptophyta; Magnoliopsida; Arecales; Arecaceae. The record is from RNAcentral.
ACAUCAGCAUCCCACAUGGUCUGUUCAUGUUUCCAUCUAUGGAAGGAAAUGAGGAAAGAAAAAAAAAUGACUUUCCUUAAUAGGAUAGACAUAGGUUAGGAAAAAAAGACUUCAUUGACAGGAUGGGGCAAAGAUGGCUCUUACCUUAUUAUUAGGAGAGAGAGAGAGUGCAUUUAAAGGGAGAAAAGAAUUUUGAUGCUUAAUAGGAUGGUCCACUUAAUUUGAUUUAAAUGGCGGAAUGGAACUUUUGAUCUUAGGAAAAAAAAAGAGAUUGAACAAAUAGAUGGUCAAAUCUAGAUCAUUUCAUCCUCAUCCCUCGGCCAUUUUAUCUAUGGAUAUGUGAAGCCAUAGCACGAAAGAAGUAGUAUCAUAGAUGGAAGAGAC